This 29-nucleotide non-coding RNA is filed under the name Cricetulus griseus (Chinese hamster). Lineage: Eukaryota; Metazoa; Chordata; Mammalia; Rodentia; Cricetidae. The record is from RNAcentral.
UAAAGAGUUAAGUGUCCAAGGGUUGUAAC